Molecule: ribosomal RNA, 484 nt
Filed under: uncultured bacterium
Lineage: Bacteria
Description: partial 16S ribosomal RNA
Rfam family: Bacterial small subunit ribosomal RNA
Source: RNAcentral
AUUGAACGCUGGCGGCAGGCCUAACACAUGCAAGUCGAGCGGAUGAAGGGAGCUUGCUCCUGGAUUCAGCGGCGGACGGGUGAGUAAUGCCUAGGAAUCUGCCUUGUAGUGGGGGAUAACGUCCGGAAACGGGCGCUAAUACCGCAUACGUCCUGAGGGAGAAAGUGGGGGGUCUUCGGUUCUCACGCUAUCAGAUGAGCCUAGGUCGGAUUAGCUAGUUGGUGGGGUAAAGGCCUACCAAGGCGACGAUCCGUAACUGGUAUGAGGGGGUGACCAGUCAGAUGGGCACAGAGACACGUUCCAGACUCCGACGGGAGGCAGCAGUGGAGAAUAUUGCGCGAGGGGCGAGAGCCGAAUACAGCCAUGCCGCGUGUGUGAAGAAGGACUUCGGAUUGUAAAGCACUUUAAGUUGGGAGGAAGGACAGUAAGUUAAUACCUUGCUGUUUUGACGUUACCAACAGAAUAAGCACCGGCUAACUUCGUG